RNAcentral lists this ribosomal RNA (378 nucleotides) under uncultured bacterium. RNAcentral describes it as "partial 16S ribosomal RNA". It matches the Rfam family "Bacterial small subunit ribosomal RNA", at positions 338 to 732 of the family's 1533-position model. The record is from RNAcentral.
CCUACGGGUGGCAGCAGUGGGGAAUAUUGCACAAUGGGGGAAACCCUGAUGCAGCGACGCCGCGUGAGUGAAGAAGUAUUUCGGUAUGUAAAGCUCUAUCAGCAGGGAAGAAGAAAGACGGUACCUGACUAAGAAGCCCCGGCUAACUACGUGCCAGCAGCCGGGGGAAUAUGUAGGGGGCAAGCGUUAAGCGGAUUUACUGGGGGGAAAGGGAGCGUAGGCGGCUGUGCCAGUCUGAAGAGAAAGCCCAGGGUUCAACCCUCGGACUGCUUUGGAAACUGGCGAGCUAGAGUGCUGGAGAGGUAAGUGGAAUUCCUAGUGUAGCGGUGAAAUGCGUAGAUAUUAGGAAGAACACCAAUGGCGAAGGCAGCUUACUGG